UUUUAAGUCUACUUGCAAGCUAAGGAAGUAGAUUAAGUAAGCUUGUUAGUUUGUCACAGUUUUAUGGAUGCUGGUGGAAGACAUGAAACUCCUGGAUCCAAGACAAAGGAUAGUUCAUUACUCAUAGCAAUAAUAGUAGCCAGUCUCUCACCAUGUUUGGUCAGUUUCCCCUUGCUUCCAUGUUCCAUAGGGAUGAAGUGAAUGGACCCAGGUAGAUGUCUUAUUCACAGUGAGCUUUAUUCCAGGAGAGGAAUCCUGACUCGGGAAAUCUGAAUCUUUUAUAAUGGCAGGAAGUAUGCUUGCCCUUUGCUUUGGAAAGAGGUAUAAUUAUUAUACAGACUAGUAAUCAAAUUUGUUCUUUGCUCUGGAGGAAGACACAGUAUCUGUCUUUCAAGGUUGUGUGUGCUACAAUUGUCCUUGAAAAGAUAGUCUAGAACAAAGGGUACCUCUACUUAUAAGGUGCAGAAAUGGAACAAAGCAGUAGGUACCUAUGCUUAUAAGGUGCAGAAAUGAGAGACAUGUGGAGAAUUGCCUUCCAACAAAUAUGUGAUGAUUUCCCUAAGGAGUGGGUUUCCCAGUCCUAGGAAUUCUAGGCUAGUUGGGAUUAAGAAUUGUGUGUUAAAUACCACAGAUGCCUCCUAUGCACUACCUCUGUGAAUCAUUGUUUGUCAUAAAAUACAUUGUUGCCUUCAGCAUGGAAAAGCUGUGAAGAGAUGUGGUAGACAGACUUCUCAGAUGAUUGCCAAUGAUUCUCUCCAUCAUAUGAUCCUCCAGUUUAAUGUGGGUGGAACUUCUGAAUACUAUGAAAUUUCACUCCAGUAAUUGUUAUAUUUUUUAAAAAAGAGCCUGAGCUAAUCAGGUGAUCUCUUUAAAAGCUUAGAGUGUUUUCUAGGGCUAUUCAUAGAGGAUGUAGUCUGAGAGAAGGAAUACCUCCUGGCUUGGAAGAAAGCAAACAACCAUAUUGUGAUUGUCUUUGGGGGCCAUGUGGCAAGGAACUGUGGAUGAACUCUAGCUGCUGAGAGCAGCUCCUGACCAAUAGCCAGCAAGGAACGGGCACGUCAAUCACAUACUGGAAGGAGCUGAAUUCUGCAGUGAGGACAUAACACUGGAAGAAGAACCCAGCUCCAGAUGAGAAUGCAGCCCGGUCAACACUUUGAUUUCAGCCUGUGAGAAACUGAUCAGAAAACUGAGCCCUGCUUGGACUUCCACCCUACAAAACUAGCAAAAUUUGGGAACAAAUGGAAAAGUCUGUGGAUCCAUAGUUUCUGCUAUAACAAACAAAGCUUUUAUGUUUAUAUUGCACUUCCACGUCAGAAGAACCUGUGGAAGAAUCCAGGAAAAUGCCUAGUGUCAAUGUGAGGAAAGUACAUGGAUGGCAGCAGACUACCAGGACAUGAAAAGAAUAGCUCCUUCCUGACUUACUCUCUCUUGGAUCAAUUACUGUGAUGGAAACCAGCUGCCAUGUCAGGAGUACACUCAGCUGGCCUAAUGGGAGGCCCACACAGAGAGGCACUGAGGUCGCCAAUCAAUAACCAACACCAAUACAGCGCAGACCAUAAGCCAGUGUCCCAACUAGGGACUUGAAGAUGAGUCUACAGAGAUGACCAGAGCGGUGCUGGGUGAACUUCAUUUUCCUUUCCUAGUCAAGAAGGCUUAAGUAAUAGUAUGAGGAAAUACCUGAAGACCCAAACCCUGGUAGAAAAGACACUGCUGUCAUGGCAACAUUCUAACUUUAGCACAUUGAAUAUGUCAUACUACUCUCUCCUGGACUGCAGAGUUUUUGCUGACAAAUCUGCUGACAGCCAUGUUGGAACUCUCUUGAUUGUGGUGAAGCCUAAGAAACACUGUCUAAGCUAAAGGGCCAAGGUCAACAUCAACAGCGAAAGAGGAGACUUUGGGACUUGGAAGUGACUCCUAAAAUAGAGUAUUUUUAAAACUAUGGAACAUAACCUCAAUAACAUUAUUGAGAAUGGCUACUUGGCAAAUAAGGGAACUUUUGCAUCAGAGAUUAUUUAUGAUACAUCACAAUAGCAAUCUUAAAAAUGGAAGCAGAUUCUGAGAGACCUAAAGCACAAAUAAAUGAUAAAGGAUUGCAAGUGUAAAUAUUAGGUUUCUCUAGGAUGAAGAAAUCUCCUUAAAAAAAGGCCUACGUUUCAAAGCCUAGCUGUGCAGGAUGAAUGAAAAUCCAUUUGCCCAAUAAACUAGAAAAUCUAGAAGAAAUGGAUAAAUUCCUUGACACAUACACCCUCCCAAGACUAAACCAGGAAGAAGUUGAAUCUCUGAAUAGACCAAUAACAGGCUCUGAAAUUGUGGCAAUAAUCAAUAGCUUACCAACCAAAAAAAGCCCAGGACCAGAUGGAUUCAUAGCCGAAUUCUACCAGAG
This 2383-nucleotide long non-coding RNA is filed under the name Homo sapiens (human). RNAcentral describes it as "HSALNT0102145". Lineage: Eukaryota; Metazoa; Chordata; Mammalia; Primates; Hominidae. The record is from RNAcentral.